RNAcentral lists this ribosomal RNA (129 nucleotides) under Hoylesella timonensis. Its description in RNAcentral is "Prevotella timonensis partial 23S ribosomal RNA". It matches the Rfam family "Bacterial large subunit ribosomal RNA", at positions 1 to 126 of the family's 2925-position model. Lineage: Bacteria; Pseudomonadati; Bacteroidota; Bacteroidia; Bacteroidales; Prevotellaceae. The record is from RNAcentral.
CGAAAGAAAGUAAAUAAGGGCGUAUGGCGGAUGCCUAGGCUCAUGGAGGCGAUGAAGGACGUGAUAAGCUGCGUUAAGCCUUGGGUAGGUGCAAAUAACCUUUAAACCAAGGAUUUCCGAAUGGGACAA